Molecule: ribosomal RNA, 432 nt
Filed under: Haemaphysalis juxtakochi
Lineage: Eukaryota; Metazoa; Arthropoda; Arachnida; Ixodida; Ixodidae
Description: partial 16S ribosomal RNA
Source: RNAcentral
AUGAUUUUUUAAAUUGCUGUGGUAUUUUGACUAUACAAAGGUAUUGUAAUAAGACUUUAAUUGAGUGCUAAAAGAAUGGACUUUCAAAAAAAUACUUUCUUGAAUUUAAUAAUUGAAUUUAUUUUUAUUUGUGAAGAAACAAUAAUUAACAUUAAGGACAAGAAGACCCUAAGAAUUUUUGAGUUUAACUAAAAAAGUUUUUUUAUUUAAAUUCUUAAUUGGGGCGAUUAAAAAAUAUUUUUAACUUUUUUUUUAAAAAAAAAUGACCCAUUAAUAAUGAUUAAUUGUAUUAAAUACUCUAGGGAUAACAGCGUAAUAAUUUUAGAUAGAUCGUAUAGAAAAAAUAGUUUGCGACCUCGAUGUUGGAUUAGGAUUUCUAUUUAAUGCAGAAGUUAAAAAUAGAAAGUUUGUUCAACUUUUAAAAUCCUACUG